This 8500-nucleotide long non-coding RNA is filed under the name Podarcis lilfordi (Lilford's wall lizard). The record is from RNAcentral. Lineage: Eukaryota; Metazoa; Chordata; Lepidosauria; Squamata; Lacertidae.
AGGGGUCUUCCAACAACUCUUAGUGCCCUUAGCAAACUACAGUUCCCAGAAUUAUUUGGGGAUUUUUAAAAGUUGUAUAAUACUGUAUUGAUUUAAAUAUAUAGGCCUUAAUUUUAUAUUUAUAUGUUAUGGAAUUGUAGUGACCCAAAUGGCUUUACACAUGCAGAGUGCGAUAGAAAUGUUUAAAUAAAUAAAACCCUCAGUGGGUAUUUCAGAAGCCAUUUUGUGUCAAAUGAAUGGUUCCUUAACCCCUGCUGAAAUGCCUUGGGAAACCCCACAUAGGUUUCACUCCCCUUCUUGAUGAUGACUCACAGGGGGAGAAACCAACUCUGCUACAUGAAGGGGGACAAAACUUUGAGCCUCCAGCUAUGGAAAGCACUACAUCCAGUAUGCCAUCUUGAAGAAUAUGUGAAGUGCAUGCCGGUUUUAUGGUGCCAAGGUAGAGUAGGGGCAAACAAAAAUAGUAAUGCUUGGGUUUCAAAGGAAAAAAAUAAACUGAACACUCUCACCCCUCCCCAAUGUUUGCCAUGAGUUGGUUUGGCCCACUGCUUCACGAUCUCCAGCCCUCGUGUUUGGGGACUCAGAUUGAAAAGGGCUUUGCAAGGGGGUGGUGGGUUGGGUAAGUCCUGGAGGUUUGCAGACUGGCUGGCGUGUACGUGUUGCCGUAGGCCAAGAGCUAGUGCCAUUUCUUUUAUUUCAGUCAUAUCAACCAGACUUCUCUUAGCUUAGAUAGCCAUUAUGGCUUGGGGAGAGGAGCUUAAGGUUGCUUUCCUUUCAUUUUCCUUCCACUGGAAGCCUGUGUUCUUCCUUGCUCUGUCUGCACUCUUUAAAAGCAAUUAUAUUUCAAAAGGGUUGCACCAGUGUAAUUUCAGCCUAAUUUAUGCCAUCAAGGAAAUAUUUGUAGGAAAUGCAGCAUUCUUGACACUUUUUUCAAUACUCACCACCCCAAAAGUUGUAAUUUGCUUCAUUAUAUUCAUUAAAACAACAGGGCUUUUCUUCAGCGAAGAUAAUAAUUAGAAUGGGAGUAUUAAUUUGAGAUUGUUUUUCCUCAGCAAUUGACUGAGGCACAUAGCUCAUCCACACAGAAGUGUGCUUUGUCCCUUUUGUGCCGUGAUUAAAAUAAAUAAAACUUGUUGCUGCCGCUUAAAAGUUCAUGUUCUCAACCCAGAGGAGGGGGAGCCAUGACAAUACUUCCAAAUGUGUACAAACUUCCCAUUGGAUAUUUUUGUAUUUGUUUAUUUUAUUUGAACAAUUUAUAUAUUGCUUAAAAUUAAACAGGACUCUGAAGUGAAACUAAACAAAAACAAGUGAAAAUUAAAAACUUUUAAAAUGGUUAGGCUUCAGCAAUCCCUCAAGAGAGAUUCCCUCCUUUUCUUCCAUAUAUGGUAAUUCCACAGCAUACUCCCACAUAAUGGAGAAACCAGGGGCUUCAGUUAGAUCACCAUUUUGUUUUGUUUAGGAAUCAUGCAGAUUAAAGUUACCUGUUUCUUUUAUGUUCAACUCUUUCUCCAGGGAGCAUAAGGCAUCACAGAUGGUUCUCUACCACCCAGUUUAUCCUCGCAGCAGCCCUGUGAGGCACAUUGUGGAAAAGGGCUGUGGCUCCUUGGUAGAUCAUCCACUUUGCAUGCAGAAGGUCCCAAGUUCAAUGCCUGGCAUCUCUCCAAGUGGGGCCUUCCCUUUCCAAAACUGGAGACCCACUGCCUGUCACUAUUGAGCUUCUUCCUAUAUUGAGCUCACCUUCCUAUAUUUCCUAGGUUAGGCUGAGAGCUAGUGACGAUCAAAAAUAACCCUAAAGGCUGAGCAGAUUCAUUGUUCUUAGCACAACUGGAGAAAUAAAUGAAAACUUUUUUAAGGCCGAGCAGGGAUUUUAAUAGUCUCCAUCCGUAGCUCAUCAAUCUAUCCACUAAUGCACUAGUUCUCAGCUAUACUCUCUCCUGAGCAGAAGCUGUUAACAGAUAUCUUAAUGAGCACCUAUGGCAACAAUGCUGUGUUAACUGGUAACCCCAAAGUAAUGCUUCUCAACUUUUCUAUCUCACCAAAAGAGAGGUUUUCUCGCUGGUCCUCUGACAUAGUGCAGUGAACACAAAAGCUGCAUGCACAAUCUCUAAUCCUCCCAUGGCUGUUCUGUGACUGUAAUCAUAAAGACUUGGCUUGAACGUUUCAUUCACCUUAGGCAUUAGGAACAGUGAUCUUACUGAUGGUCAGGACUCCUCUGUGUAAGAAAAAAUAAAGGAAAUAAGGGGGGAGACCACAGUCACCAUGAAAACUCUUUUAUUAAAAAUAUGCUUCUUGAUGGGUAAUAAAACAAACUAAGGGCAAUAAUCCUUUAGGCAGUGAGCAAUGAACCCACUGACAGCCAAUCAUUGCUGGUCCCCCAUCAACGGUAACAGAUGAUAAUUGGUGAAGAGGCAGGCAUGCUUGUAGCAUAGUUCUCAACACUGAAUGCAACACUCAUGUCUGACAACAGAAUAAAUUUAUAUUUUAUGGAAUUGUGGUGUCCCAAAUGGCUUUAUGCAUGUAGGGUGCGAUAGAAAUGUUUAAAUAAAUAAAUAAAACCCUCAGUGGGUAUUUCAGAAGCCAUUUUGUGCCGCAUGGUUCCAGCAACAAUGCUUAACCCCUGCUCGAAUGCCUUGGGAAACCCCACACAAGUUUCUCUCGAUGAUUUACCAGAGGCUUCUUGUAGCAUAGUUCUCAACACUGUAUGCAACACUUAAUGUCUCAUCACAAAUGAAACUGAUCUGUAGAAAACACAACUUAAAAAAAAAAGACAAUGCGCGUAUUUUUGUGAACUAAGAAAUCUUUAAUAAAAAUAUUUUUUUUUAAAAAAAGAAAAAAGCCAGAAAUAUAUCCUCAUCUCUCGUUCUACCUUUCAGUAGUAGUAGUUUCAGCAGCCCUUCUUGGGAGAUUUAAGGAUGAGUUAAUCAGUCAAAAGCUGAUUGCUAACAGCACUUCUUGCAAUUUGGGGACUUUUUAUGGGGGCUUUAGUGCUUCUGACGGUGGGUUGGUCAACGACAUAUAGACAGAGAAGGUAUGUGUCAUAUCUGCUGAGGCUGACAUAUGUCCUGUUACAACACUAAAGGAAUAUAUCAGGUUCAGGGGUAGCAUACAAAUGAACCUGUUCUAUCGUCAUGAUAGUCAGCCCCUGAUCCUGACCAAGCUUCAGUUUUUCGUAGGGCUCCCAGGUUCCAGCUGAUAGAUCAUGAUUUUCUUCCCCUCUUUCCAUUAGAUCGGGUUUGGUAUUAGGCAUUUAAAACAUGCCACAGAGUGCGUGCAGAGUAGACCACACAGAUGGAAACACUGAAAAGACGCAAAAAUAACAUUGCAUGGUUUAAUAACAAAACGCUUAACAUACAUCUUACAUAGUGUCUAUAAUCAUCGCCCAUCCAUCCACCAUGGCGGAGUAAGGUACAUACUGCACAUUAUAUAUAUAUAUCAUUCACAAUUGCUGACACAGCUAAUUACAGUGACUUAUCAGCACCUGCUACACAGCUGUAAAAACUAGGUCAGGAUAUGCACCCUGGCUUUUAAAGUGGUACACACCUUGUGAAACAACGAUGAACCCUAACAUUUAAACAAACUAUUCAACAGCUUCCUGGGGGAACUUGCACUCCAGUGCAGUCAGCAGUUUUGCCACUUGUUUCUUGUUCUAAUCUGGCAGCUUGGUUGUUCCUCUUAUGAUGACCAGCCCAAAGGAAAACCCCCAUCAAUAAUGGAACUUGAUGCGUUGACUUUUUGGUGCUACUAUAGAUUACCCGUAAUGAGGCAAAAGGGGCUACUUCAGCUGAAAACAACAUAAAAUUAAAAGCCCACUGGGUUUCUUUGUUCCCUUCAAAAAUUACAUCAUGAAUAAGAACUGGGUAUUGAAAACUACCAUCUGGGAAAGGAAGAGGGUUCCUUAGCCCUGCAUCAAAUGCAUCUGUUUGCACAACAAACUUUUUAGUAAAAUUAGGCCCCUUCAGUGCUGGAUUAUAAUGGGUUCAUUAAGUGCUGAGUAGAGAUAUCAGAAAAUACUGAUGGAAAUAAAAGAACGGAAAGCGCCAAUUUUCAUUUAUUUGUCCCUUGGCCACAACAAAAAUCAAUUCAGUGAAUACUAUUUGUAUUUGCCACUGUUACUGUUUGCAGACUGAAAGCAACAUGUAAAUAAUUAUUUUUGCAUUGAGUUUCCUUUAUACUGAAAUAUAUGAGGUAGAAUAACAUGCCAAUUAUGCUUACAUAAUUUGGUAUUUAGUUAUGUACGUUAUGUAAUUUUACCACAGUGGAUUGUGGGGUGGAUUAUGGAUUGUUUUUUGGGAAAGACAAAACUGCAGAGCAAUGGAAACAUGGCUGUGGCUGAAGAAUUCAUAGUGGAAAAUAAAACACUCCCGUCUUAAAACCCUAAUGCUGAGCUGAAGCACCCAGCCCAAAGAUUUCCGUGGGUUCCCCCCCAAUAAAUACUUAAGUUCAGAAACAGUACAAUAAACCAAAGGAACACAGAAACCAACAUAUAUUCUACAUAAACAAAGCAAACAAAACUAAGAUGAGAAGCCUGUCCAUAAUUUGAAUAUCCACAGAAGGAAUGCUGGUGACAAAGGGAGGGCAUAAGUCUUAUAAAGAUACACACAUCAGUACACAACAGAAAAGAGGUAUGUGUGACUGUGAAGCAGAGUUAGGAAUCACACAUCCUAAUUUACAAUACAAUGAGCUAAAGGUAGUCUGGGUUCUCCAGGGUUGGAGUUGAUAUAGGAAAGAAAAAGGAACAGGUUUUCACAGAACCUGUCAAGUUUCAUGCCCCAAAGACUCUGGGGGCAUGCCUACUCAGUUGAUUGCAGAGUACCAGCUCCAAAGGGAUGUAUUAAUUUCAUUAGUAAUAGUUUACUAAGGUAAAAAUAAGCUUAACAGUUCAAUACCAGAUCCCUGGAAUAGUAAUCUCUUAAUAAUCCACUUGCAGCAAAAAUACAUAACAGUAGAAUAAAACUUACACUAAGUAAAAAUCAGUCCAUAAUGAGAGAGGAAAAGAACAGGGAGAGAGGAAAAGAAUGAACCCCCAUCAAACUGCAGUUGUAGACAGUCCUGGGGCAGUUUGGCCUUGAGGGAGGGAUAACUCACUAAGCUCAUCCCAGCUGCAUUUCUGUUCCCUUGAGAACCCUCCAAACUAGAAUACUUCCGUUGGCUUCUGUAAGCUCUAUGGCUUCUGUACCUCAGAAACUCCAUUAUACCUGACAGAACCUGCCCUUUGUUUCCCCUGUGGCCAAUUUAGAUUGCCAAGUAAGUUUGUCUGAUAAAGCUUCUUGCCAUAGGUAGGUUUUGAGAGAGGGCAAAAGCACCCUCUCUGGAAAAAAAAGCAAGGGAGCAUUUCUCAUGCUGUGUUCUAUAGCAUUGUCAUUGUGUGCCCUGUGGCAUGGGACCCAGUGCCGUCACACUACCCUAAAACUGCUUCUGCUCUCUGAACCACCUGGGCAAGUUCCUGAGGCAGAAGGCCCAUGUCAGACAGAAUGUCAGAAUAUGCCGUAUUGCUCCCAGACAUACAUACUUGAGAGAAAAUAUGUCUGCCCCCAUUGUGGUCAAAGGAGGAAAGAAAAUUGCACAGGACAAUUCUUAGCAUUUGCACCCCUCCCUCAAAACAAACCUGUUCAGGUGGCACUUGCACCUCCAGAAACCUAUCAAAAUGGCAGGAUUCCUGAGAAAACUCUUACCUAUCCCUCUAGCAUUGGCAAGUACAAAAAAGGGGCAGGGGGAGUUGCUGCUGUUGUACAAUUUGGACUAUUGGAGUUUGAUAGCUGGAAGUUAUGGUACAAGGGUGUACAUUUCUUUUCAUAUGCUGUUUUUAUUUAUUGCAUUUGUUCAUUGCUUCAUACCAAACAACAACCUCAAAGCAACUUAAUAAAGAAUUGUUAUAGGCAGGAUAAACUUAGAAAUUAAUAAAUGCUAGGAUUUUGGUUAUUUGUGGUAUGAAGGGAGAAUGCAAGCUGCAAAGGAAUUCCUGUGCUGGCUUAUGCAGACCAGCCCGGCUGGCUGGGGGAAGAACAGACAAGGUGUUUGAAGGGCCAUAGAAGGAUCCUUUGACCUGGGGAGUCAGAUGUCACAAAGGUUGCUGGGGUAACUGUGUUUUGGGGACAGGAAAGGGGAGCUCAGACACAGGGGCUUCUGGGCAGAAGGAAGAAAGAAAGGGGAAAAGGAAAGGUCAGCAAUGCUUUGGGCCAUGCUUUAAGAUCUGGACUCCCCCCAUGCGGACUGAAGGUGUAAAUAGGUGAAUAAACCAUAUUUUUCAACGGCUAUAAAUAUUCUCUCCUGGGCAGAUUUUCCACAGUUUAUGAUGUUAUCCGAUCCCAGGAACAACAAAACCUUCCACUCCUGGUCUGCACCCUAUUCUGGCAUUUUGAGUUUUGUAACACUGGUGGAAUUUUGCCUGUAUUGUACCAUCAGCCUGAGAUGCCCAACUCCAUGGCCUACCUAGCAGCAAGUCCCACUGGCAGUAUGCCAAGUCCAAAAUUAAACAAUUCAUUGGGUUGAUCCAUGUAAGCAAAGUCCCCAAAGUCAGGAAACACAGUCCAGGAUCAAUCUCAAAACACAGUCCCGUAGCAGUCGUAGAGCAUCCGAGACCAAGGACCACCAACAAGGGCAGUUGAGUAGACCCAGCACCUUAGCUCUGCUUCCCUUUUAUACCUUGCAUGUUGAUUGCAGCAUCUGGGCUUCACGAGGCAGGUGACCAUCAUCUGUUCUGAGCCUACUGCAGCUGAGGAAUCACAGGGAGAGGGAGUGGGUCAGGAAAAGGUCUACAGGAGAGGAAGCCGGAGGGUGGGGUUAGCCUCAAAAGCGGACAUGUCCAUGAGGCUCUGGAGAACAAUCCCUCCCUCCAGUUGCAUCAGGCGCCCUUGCAGGCCCUCACCUCUGCCACCGCUGCCCAGCCCUGCCGGCUGUCAAAUUGCUGCUGCCUGAACCAGGGCUUUGUCCUGAAAGGGGGGAAAAAGGAACCAUGACCACAAAUUGUCCCUUCUCACUUCCAAAGGUGAAAAUGUUAAAUUCCUGUAGUUCCUUGGAAGAAACCUUGCCAUUUCAAUUGAUUUCUAAAGACGAUGUCCUGAAACACCCAGACCCAGGAGAUUCUUUUUCUGCCCAUUUUUCUGAAUGAAAUCAAGGAAUGUGGUGGCUAUGUCUUGGCUUGGCAAGUUCAGCCGCUCAUAGCAGCUGCUGAGGACCCUAGGGUCUAUGCUGGGCACUGCACCCUGGAAAAUCUGACACGGCAGCCACCUACACACUCUGGUCAGUGACCGAAAUCAGUUGACUCAGCCACCUGCUGCCGUACAGAGCUGAGCAGUAGCCCAUUGUAACGGCCACUACAUAAUACAUAUGGAGGUAGUUUGGGGUUGGAUGAGUGAGCAGAUGCAGGAGCAAACUGGCACACUGGGAACUCCAGUGGCAGCGGAGACAGUAGCAGUACCAGGCAAGGCCCCAGAUUGGCAGUUGGUGGGGCAAUGCAGGUGGGGCGUCGUUGCUCACCUGCCUUCCAGAUAAUUGGGUGUUGCUGCCAGUUGCUGAGAGGGUGAGGCGUGGGGAGCAUGGCACAGUGCAGGCAAAGCAGAGGAGCCCCACUUGUGCUGCCCCAUCAGUGGCCCCAUGCUGAGAGCUCACUAAAGGUCUUGGGAGACCCUCUUUCUUCUGUUACUGGGAGGGCAUUUUCCUCUGGGAAAGACACAGGAGAAAGACUCCACAGCCCACAUUCGGCAGAUACGGAACAUGGAGCUCUUUGCUCAUUUGUCCGCAUUCUGCCUUUAGCGCCUGUUCAUCUUGUGGAAACAUUCAUAUAAUUUAGCAGAGUUUAAACGAUCCCCUGUUUGAGAUUAUGCAGCGACAAGCGGGUUGCUAACUCAUUUGAGUCCUAUCAAUAAUUAUACCUUCCUGGUGAUAAUCCCUUUCUGUCCCUCUUAAAGAAAACAAACAUGAAUCUGAAUCAUAUUAACAUAAACUACUUUACUAUCAGAUUCAUUUGGGUUUACAGAGUUGUUCCUGAAGGCAGGCUUACGUUACAUGAUAGAUAAACUAUAUACUAGAUAGUAGUGAGUCAUGAGAAGACUGCAUCCAAGCAGUUACCAGUUAACACUCCUUUCAGCAACCGACUGUGGCGAUCACACAGGGUCCCCGGACGUUUCACCAUCUAUUGAUCCCUGUGCCACCACUUUAUUUCUCGCUGCCACAACCCAGGCCCUACCUGGUACAAUACUGAGUCCAGUCAGAGUUAAAUUGGAACAUAAACGUUUGUUUAUUGCAGUUUAACAAGCGUGUGGUUUCAUAAACGGUAUCAGUCAAUUACAAUCAUGGGGUGCCUAUCCAGACCUAUAACUUCCGCUACCUGCUCUCACUCACUAAACCAGUUCUCAGAUAUUUGUCUUCCUAGCCCCCAACUAUUCCUGACUCAGCUUAUUUUGCUACACUAACUCAACCUACCCACAAACUAUCCCAAUUCACUCCCACGCCACCCAACGAACUCUACUCUUUUUUUCCUCCAAAAUUUUAUUGAUUUUCC